UGGGGAAUAUUGGACAAUGGGCGAAAGCCUGAUCCAGCCAUGCCGCGUGUGUGAAGAAGGUCUUCGGAUUGUAAAGCACUUUAAGUUGGGAGGAAGGGCAGUAAGCGAAUACCUUGCUGUUUUGACGUUACCGACAGAAUAAGCACCGGCUAACUCUGUGCCAGCAGCCGCGGUAAUACAGAGGGUGCAAGCGUUAAUCGGAAUUACUGGGCGUAAAGCGCGCGUAGGUGGUUCGUUAAGUUGAAUGUGAAAGCCCCGGGCUCAACCUGGGAACUGCAUCCAAAGCUGGCGGGCUGGAGUAGGGCAGAGGGUGGUGGAAUUUCCUGUGUAGCGGUGAAAUGCGUAGAUAUAGGAAGGAACACCAGUGGCGAAGGCGACCACCUGGGCUCAUACUGACACUGAGGUGCGAAAGCGUGGGGAGCAAACAGG
Molecule: ribosomal RNA, 429 nt
Filed under: Pseudomonadota bacterium
Lineage: Bacteria; Pseudomonadati; Pseudomonadota
Description: Proteobacteria bacterium partial 16S ribosomal RNA
Rfam family: Bacterial small subunit ribosomal RNA
Source: RNAcentral